AUGAAUGUUACUCUAGCGCCUGUGGACCGUGUCUGUGCAGUCGUAUUAUUUGAUGAUAUACUUGUGUUCAGUGCUACCUUAGAGGAACAUGUGCAACACCUCAAGCAAGUUUUGCAACUACUAAGGCAACAUCAGUGGAGAGUUAAAGAGUCAAAAUGUGCAUUCGCCCAACGUAGCAUAUCAUAUCUGGGCUUUGUGGUCAGUGGGAACGGAGUGUCAACAGACCCAGCUAAGGUGCAAGCGGUCCUUGAGUGGCCAGUGCCCCAAUCUAUUAAGGAGCUUCGAGGGUUCCUUGGACUUUCUGAGUACUACAGGAAAUUUGUGCGCAAUUAUGGUGUUAUCAGUCAGCCCUUGACUCAUCUCUUGCGCAAGAAUGUGCCCUUUGUAUGGUCUACAACAACACAUGCUGCUUUUGAAGUGUUAAAAAAAGCUCUAACAUCAGCACCUGUACUUGCUUUGCCCGAUUUCAAGGUUCAGUUUAUUGUUGAAACUGAUGCUAGUGACACUAGGCAUUUUGAGUUUUUUAUUUUUACUGAUCACUUCAGUUUGGCCCAUCUGGAAGACCAACGCUUGCAUACUCCCUGGCAGCAGAAAGUGUUCACUAAGUUGCUAGGUUUGCAGUUCAAGAUAAAGUACAAAAAAGGGUCUGAAAAUCGAGUUGCAGAUGCCUUAUCUAGUAGACCACAUCCUGAGUCUGAAUUAUUAGCGAUCACUUGUCAACACCUAGCUUGGUUGCAGGAUGUGUGUGACACCUACCAACAUGAUCAAGAAGUGCAAGAAUUGCUUACAAGAUUGGCUGUUCACUCUGACUCUGAAGAUGUUUUUUCUCUACAAAAUGGACUGAUCAGGUACAAGCAGCGAUUGUGGUUGCCUAAUGGCUUGCCCAUGACAGUGAAAAUUAUUGAGGCUUUCCAUGCUAGUCCCCUGGGAGGACAUUCAGGUGUGCCAGUCACCUUGCAGAAGCUCAAGAAAUUAUUCUAUUGCAAAGGCAUGAGUAAUCAAGUGCAUAAGACGGUGCAAGAAUGCUUGAUCUGUCAACGU
Molecule: ribosomal RNA, 1041 nt
Filed under: Triticum aestivum (bread wheat)
Lineage: Eukaryota; Viridiplantae; Streptophyta; Magnoliopsida; Poales; Poaceae
Description: partial small subunit ribosomal RNA
Source: RNAcentral